GUGCCAGCCGCCGCGGUAAUACGGGGGGAGCAAGCGUUGUUCGGAUUUACUGGGCGUAAAGGGCGCGUAGGCGGUCAGCACAAGUCAGUUGUGAAAUCUCCGGGCUUAACUCGGAAAGGUCAACUGAUACUGUGCGACUAGAGUGCGGAAGGGGCAACUGGAAUUCUCGGUGUAGCGGUGAAAUGCGUAGAUAUCGAGAGGAACACCUGCGGCGAAGGCGGGUUGCUGGGCCGACACUGACGCUGAUGCGCGAAAGCCAGGGGAGCGAACGGGAUUAGAAACCCCCGUAGUCC
RNAcentral lists this ribosomal RNA (293 nucleotides) under uncultured bacterium. RNAcentral describes it as "partial 16S ribosomal RNA". It matches the Rfam family "Bacterial small subunit ribosomal RNA", at positions 505 to 796 of the family's 1533-position model. The record is from RNAcentral.